Molecule: small nucleolar RNA, 138 nt
Organism: Tachyglossus aculeatus (Australian echidna)
Lineage: Eukaryota; Metazoa; Chordata; Mammalia; Monotremata; Tachyglossidae
Source: RefSeq, a predicted model, not a curated record
CCCCUCUCAGGUUCGCACCUGGAGAGUUUCCCGUCCUCUACCAGUCUCGACUAAGGGAAGGAGAGUCAAGCAGAGGCCUGUCCGUUCCAUUCCUAGCUUGGCCAGCGGCUAGCGAGGGGAAGGCCAUCUGCUACAAUC